UUUCCGUAGGUGAACCUGCGGAAGGAUCAUUAUUGUAUAAUCGAGGUGCGGGGGCUAUCGCUUAUACGAAAGGUCUUGCACGGCCGAGUGUUCUCCCACACAUCCAUCUCACCCCUAUGUGCAUCACCGCGUGGGUCCCCCAUUGGCUUGUUCGGAGGGGUGCUUACGUCUUCACACAAACUUUGUAUGCAGUGUAGAAUGUACUUUUUGUGUUUGCAAUCACGCAAUCAAUACAACUUUCAACAACGGAUCUCUUGGCUCUC
This 263-nucleotide unclassified non-coding RNA is filed under the name plant metagenome. RNAcentral describes it as "partial contains small subunit ribosomal RNA, internal transcribed spacer 1, and 5.8S ribosomal RNA". The record is from RNAcentral.